GUGUCUCAUCAAGUGUUAACUUAUGAACAGAAUAUUUAAAAAAAACAAUGUAUUAUUUAAUAUUCCUUAACAAGUAAUUAUUGAUGCUGCUUGUGAGCUGUAACAUAAUAGACUUCCUUAUUUUGUCAAAUAUCCCGACAGACGUAAUAGACAGCACUACUGAUGGCCAAACAAACAGGAAACUUCUGGAUUUGUGGCUGGGUGAGAAUUGCAUUACUAAUUUAUGGCUGGCUAAACUCCGCACUGUUUACAAAUUACUCGGGAAAUGUAUUGAAAAUUAAGCAAACGAAUUUUGGAUAAAACUUUCUCAAAUAUAUUUCCCUAAAUGAAGAAAAACCCUUUUUCGCCGGCCCUUAAAGGGACUAACAUCGAACUGAGCUGGAAAGCUGUAUGGACUUUGAGUUCCCAAUCCCACAAAAGCAAUUUUCCCCACUUGCCAAGCCAUUUGAAAGACAAAGUGGGGAAAAUAAAAGACCUGCCCAAAAGUUCGCGUCACUUUCAGCCUUUAAACGCCGCCCAUUGCCGGCAGACAAAACUAAGAGGGAAAAGCCCAGAAAAAACUAAUCAAGGCCCGCGGCUUUUGGCCGCAACUCCCCCAACGUUGGCCAAAUUCGGGGCCCACAUAAAAAUUUUCGGGGCGGGUCACGUGCCCCGACUGACAGGCGUUUUGCGAAAUCUCAUCAAUCAAAAUCUUAGUGUGAUAAUAACGAGCGGGAGAAAUCACAAAGCAUUUCUUUCAACCGACGGAGUUCCACUAACCCACAAUUCGGCUGAGGAUAAUGGCCAACUAGAUGGGGAUUCCGCUGAAUGCUGAUAAUGGCGGAGUGGUGGAGACUUUGCUGACGUAAUGACCCGGUUGAGGGGUUUUCUGGCCCUUUAUCCUUCUCUCAGACGGAAACGAAGACGUCGCGCAAUUUCUUGGGGCCUCCGGCUAGCCGCAGACGGCAAAUCGAAACUUCCGCCUCAUGUCGGCGGCCUGUUUUGGCCCUAAUUUGAAAGUUAAGCGUUAUAAACACGUUCAUUUAACGCCAGUCCCCGGCUCAUCCCCCGCGGCCAUAUAUCUGGGCUCCAAAGCUAAUGUUGCGCGAUUUCGAAACACAAAUUGCUGUCAUUAAAAUCAUUUCAAUGCGAAUAAAAGUUGCGGAAAAGAAGAACACAGUAAAUAAGAAGGAAAAUCAAAUGGAAAAUUUUGCGAGCGACCACAAAGAAGUAAAAUAAAUUGGAAGUGGCAGCCAGAGACUUUUGUCCAGUAAAUUGAAAUUGUAAUGAAAUGGAAAGCAGAGGAAAGCUGGGUCGUGCAAUUAGACUCGCGCUUCUUAGCCAAGUGAAUUUAAAUUAUAAUAAUGAGAAGUUUAUAAAUAUAUAAU
Drosophila simulans is the source of this 1367-nucleotide long non-coding RNA. RefSeq lists it as uncharacterized. The record is from RefSeq and is a predicted model, not a curated record. Lineage: Eukaryota; Metazoa; Arthropoda; Insecta; Diptera; Drosophilidae. The transcript is spliced from 2 exons.